RNAcentral lists this ribosomal RNA (555 nucleotides) under Microhyla heymonsi (Taiwan rice frog). RNAcentral's name for it is "partial 16S ribosomal RNA". It matches the Rfam family "Bacterial large subunit ribosomal RNA", at positions 1839 to 2611 of the family's 2925-position model. Lineage: Eukaryota; Metazoa; Chordata; Amphibia; Anura; Microhylidae. The record is from RNAcentral.
CGGUAUUUAAGAGUCUAGCCUGCCCAGUGACAAAGUUAAACGGCCGCGGUACCCUAACCGUGCAAAGGUAGCGCAAUCACUUGUUCUUUAAAUGAGGACUAGUAUGAACGGCAUCACGAGGGUUAUGCUGUCUCCCUACUUUAUUCAGUGAAACUGAUCUCCCCGUGAAGAGGCGGGGAUAAAAAUAUAAGACGAGAAGACCCCAUGGAGCUUUAAACUCAGUAUCAACUGCCAUAUUUAAAACCUGAUAUUCAAGCAAUUUCUGACUACUAGUUUUCGGUUGGGGUGACCACGGAGUAAAACCUAACCUCCACGAUGAAAGGAAAUAAUAACCUAAAUUAAGAGCUACAGCUCUAAAUAUCAAUAAAUUGACUCAUUGAUCCAAUUAAUUGAUCAACGAACCAAGUUACCCUGGGGAUAACAGCGCAAUCCAUUUCAAGAGCUCCUAUCGACAAAUGGGUUUACGACCUCGAUGUUGGAUCAGGAUAUCCCAGUGGCGCAGCCGCUACUAACGGUUCGUUUGUUCAACGAUUAAAACCCUACGUGAUCUGGUUU